UGGGGAAUCUUGGACAAUGGGGGCAACCCUGAUCCAGCCAUGCCGCGUGAGUGAUGAAGGCCUUAGGGUCGUAAAGCUCUUUCGCCUGUGAAGAUAAUGACGGUAGCAGGUAAAGAAACCCCGGCUAACUCCGUGCCAGCAGCCGCGGUAAUACGGAGGGGGUUAGCGUUGUUCGGAAUUACUGGGCGUAAAGCGCACGUAGGCGGACCAGAAAGUUGGGGGUGAAAUCCCGGGGGCUCAACCCCGGAACUGCCUCCAAAACUAUUGGUCUAGAGUUCGAGAGAGGUGAGUGGAAUUCCAAGUGUAGAGGUGAAAUUCGUAGAUAUUUGGAGGAACACCAGUGGCGAAGGCGGCUCACUGGCUCGAUACUGACGCUGAGGUGCGAAAGUGUGGGGAGCAAACAGGAUUAGAUACCCUGGUAGUCCACACCGUAAAACGAUGAAUGCCAGUCGUCGGGUAGCAUGCUAUU
This 469-nucleotide ribosomal RNA is filed under the name uncultured bacterium. Its description in RNAcentral is "bacterial SSU rRNA". It matches the Rfam family "Bacterial small subunit ribosomal RNA", at positions 355 to 840 of the family's 1533-position model. The record is from RNAcentral.